UACGAGAGGCCCAAACGUUAUUCGGAUUUACUGGGCUUAAAGAGUUCGUAGGCGGCGCAGAAAGUAGGGUGUGAAAGCCCUCGGCUCAACCGAGGAAUUGCGCUCUAAACUACUGUGCUCGAGGGACCUAGAGGUGAGCAGAACUGAUGGUGGAGCGGUGAAAUGCGUAGAGAUCGGGAGGAACACCAGAGGCGAAGGCGGCGACCUGGACAGGCACUGACACUCAACUACGAAAGCGUGGGGAGCAAACAGG
RNAcentral lists this ribosomal RNA (253 nucleotides) under uncultured bacterium. RNAcentral's name for it is "partial 16S ribosomal RNA". It matches the Rfam family "Bacterial small subunit ribosomal RNA", at positions 524 to 776 of the family's 1533-position model. The record is from RNAcentral.